Molecule: unclassified non-coding RNA, 344 nt
Filed under: soil metagenome
Description: partial contains 5.8S ribosomal RNA, internal transcribed spacer 2, and large subunit ribosomal RNA
Rfam family: 5.8S ribosomal RNA (bases 1-120)
Source: RNAcentral
GAUGAAGAACGUAGUGAAAUGCGAUAAGUAAUGUGAAUUGCAGAAUUCAGUGAAUCAUCGAAUCUUUGAACGCACAUUGCGCCCCUUGGUAUUCCGAGGGGCAUGCCUGUUCGAGCGUCAUUACACCACUCAAGCACUGCUUGGUAUUGGGCACUCGUCCGUCGAAAGACGGGCGUGCCUCGAAGACCUCGGCGGGGUUUCUCCAACUUCGGGCGUAGUAGAGUUAAAUCAAAACGUCUUAUAAGCUUGGUGAAAUCUCAUUGCCGUUAAACCUUUUUUUUUCAGGUUGACCUCGGAUCAGGUAGGGAUACCCGCUGAACUUAAGCAUAUCAAUAAGCGGAGGA